UCUCCGUUGGUGAACCAGCGGAGGGAUCAUUACUGAGUUUACGCUCUAUAACCCUUUGUGAACUUAUACCUAUUGUUGCCUCGGCGCAGGCCGGCCUCUUCACUGAGGCCCCCUGGAGACAGGGAGCAGCCCGCCGGCGGCCAACCAAACUCUUGUCUCUACAGUGAAUCUCUGAGUAAAAAACAUAAAUGAAUCAAAACUUUCAACAACGGAUCUCUUGGUUCUGGCAUCGAUGAAGAACGCAGC
This 246-nucleotide unclassified non-coding RNA is filed under the name uncultured fungus. Its description in RNAcentral is "sequence contains ITS1, 5.8S rRNA gene". The stretch from base 198 to 246 matches the Rfam family "5.8S ribosomal RNA", at positions 1 to 49 of the family's 154-position model. Lineage: Eukaryota; Fungi. The record is from RNAcentral.